UAGGGAAUCUUCCGCAAUGGGCGAAAGCCUGACGGAGCAACGCCGCGUGAGUGAUGAAGGUCUUCGGAUCGUAAAACUCUGUUAUUAGGGAAGAACAAAUGUGUAAGUAACUAUGCACGUCUUGACGGUACCUAAUCAGAAAGCCACGGCUAACUACGUGCCAGCAGCCGCGGUAAUACGUAGGUGGCAAGCGUUAUCCGGAAUUAUUGGGCGUAAAGCGCGCGUAGGCGGUUUUUUAAGUCUGAUGUGAAAGCCCACGGCUCAACCGUGGAAGGUAAUUAGAAACUGGAAAACGUGAGUGCAGAAGAAGAAAGUGGAAGUCCAUGUGUAGCGGUGAAAUGCGCAGAGAUAUGGAGGAACACCAGUGGCGAAGGCGACUUUCUGGUCUGUAACUGACGCUGAUGUGCGAAAGCGUGGGGAUCAAACAGG
RNAcentral lists this ribosomal RNA (429 nucleotides) under Actinomycetes bacterium. RNAcentral describes it as "Actinobacteria bacterium partial 16S ribosomal RNA". It matches the Rfam family "Bacterial small subunit ribosomal RNA", at positions 355 to 776 of the family's 1533-position model. The record is from RNAcentral. Lineage: Bacteria; Bacillati; Actinomycetota; Actinomycetes.